GUUCUUCUAACCUGAGUAUAGGGGCGAAAGACUAAUCGAACCAUCUAGUAGCUGGUUCCCUUCGAAAUUUCCCUCAGGAUAGCUGGAACAAUCACAGUUUUAUCGGGUAAAGCGAAUGAUUAGAGGUUCGGGAGUUGUAACAACUUUCACCUAUUCUCAAACUUUAAAUUGGUAAGAACGGGGAGUUUCUUAAUUGAACUCUUCGAUGAAUGUGUGUUCCAUGUGGGCCAUUUUUGGUAAGCAGAACUGGCGACGAGGGUUCAACCUAAGGCAGAGUUGAGGCGACCAAUUGGCAGCUCAUCAGAUGAAAAGGUGUUAGUUCAUUUAGACAGUAGGACGGUGGCCAUGGAAGUCGGAACCCGCUAAGGAGUGUGUAACAACUCACCUACCGAAUGAACUAGCCCUGAAAAUGGAUGUCGCUAAGCAGCCAGCCGAUACUCUGCUGUUCUGCUUUAAGCUAGCAGAACAGGUAGAAGGGCGUGAAGACCGCGCAGAAGGCUUUGUGUAGACAAGGCUGGAGCGAUCUUUAGUGCAGAUCUUGGUGGUAGUAGCAACUAUUCAAAUGAGAACUUUGAAGACUGAAGUGGAGAAGGGUUUCAUGAGAACAGCAUUUGGUCAUGAGUGACUCGGUCCUAAGGUCAAGGGUAAUCCUGCGACGGCGUAGCCCAGACCGAAAGGGAAUGUGGUUAAAAUUCCACAAGCAGGCGGUGGAUAUUGCGUGGCAACACAACUGAACUCAAAGACGUCGAGGCGAGGUCCCAGGAAGAGUUCUCUUUUCUUCUUAACAAGUUGCUGCCUUGGAGAUCUUUGCGAUGAGAUAAGGCUACAGACUUGGAAGAGCAGCACACCCUCUGUGCUGUCUGGUGCACCUUCUUCGGCCCUUGAAAAUUUGAGGGAAACUUUAUUGCUCGCCUGGCCGUACCCAUAACCGCAUCAGGUCUCCAAGGUUAGCAGCCUCUAGUACGUAGAAUAAUGUAGAUAAGGGAAUUCGGCAAAAUAGAUCUGUAACUUCGGGAAAAAGAUUGGCUCUGAGGGUCAGGCCAAGGGCCUGGUAGAUCGACCUAGUUGUGCCAAACGGGGCAACCUGUAGGCGUCAGCGAUGGUUUGACCUGUCAGUCACCCUUGGCAGCGAAUGACCAACUCAGAACUGGAGCAGCGAGAGGAAUCCGACUGUUUAAUUAAAACAGAGCAUUGUGAAGGCUGUAAACAGUGUUGACACAAUGUGAUUUCUGCCCAGUGCUCUGAAUGUCAACGUGAAGAAAUUCAUCCAAGCGCGGGUAAACGGCGGGAGUAACUAUGACUCUCUUAAGGUAGCCAAAUGCCUCGUCAUCUAAUUAGUGACGUGCAUGAAUGGAUUAACGAGAUUCCUACUGUCCCUAUCUACUAUCUAGCGAACCCACAGCCAAGGGAACGGGCUUGGCGGAAUCAGCGGGGAAAGAAGACCCUGUUGAGUUUGACUCUAGUCUGGCUUUGUGAAAUGGCGUAGGGGGUGUAGAUAAGUGGGAGCCCUGCGUAUUGAAAAACCACUACUCUUGAUGUCAUUUUACUUAUCUCGUGAUGUAGAAACCUCCGGGUUCUAGCUUUAUUCUUGGCGGGAGACAGAGCCAGGUAGGGAGUUCGGCUGGGGCGGCACAUCUGUUAAACGGUAACGCAGGUGUCCUAUGGCAAGCUCAAAGAGAACAGAAAUCUCUUGUUGACCAAAAGGGGAAAAGCUUGCUUGAUUUUGAUUCUCAGUAAGAAUACAAACUGUGAAAGCAUGGCCUAUCGAUCCUUUGCUUUUUAAAAGUCUUAAACCAGAGGUGUCAGAAAAAUUACCACAGGGAUAACUGGCUUGUGGCAGCCAAGCGUUCAUAGCGACGUUGCUUUUUGAUUCUUCGAUGUCGGCUCUUCCUAUCAUUGUGAAGCAGAAUUCACCAAGUGUCGGAUUGUUCACCCGCUAAUAGGGAACGUGAGCUGGGUUUAGACCGUCGUGAGACAGGUUAGUUUUACCCUACUGAUGACUGAUAUCGCUACAGUAAUCCAACUCAGUACGAGAGGAACCGUUGGUUCAGAUCACUGGUUCAUGCGAUUUCCUGACAAGGAAGUGUCGCGAUGCUACCAUCUGUUUGAUUAUGACUGAACGCCUCUAAGUCAGAAUCAAUGCUGGAACGCGAUGUCCGCCGAGUGCAUAUGGAAACCAUAAUCCAACUCCCAAUGCAGCUUCUGAUGUUUGCACAAUGCAAGCUAAGAUACUGUAAUUACCAAAUUGCACCCGGGACAAAUCUUUUGCAGACCACUUACAUGGAACGAGGGAUUGUA
RNAcentral lists this ribosomal RNA (2298 nucleotides) under Stentor polymorphus. RNAcentral's name for it is "eukaryotic LSU rRNA". It matches the Rfam family "Eukaryotic large subunit ribosomal RNA", at positions 900 to 3339 of the family's 3401-position model. Lineage: Eukaryota; Ciliophora; Heterotrichea; Heterotrichida; Stentoridae. The record is from RNAcentral.